Long non-coding RNA from Rhincodon typus (whale shark), 1768 nucleotides. RefSeq lists it as uncharacterized. The transcript has 4 exons. The record is from RefSeq and is a predicted model, not a curated record. Lineage: Eukaryota; Metazoa; Chordata; Chondrichthyes; Orectolobiformes; Rhincodontidae.
AAUGCUGAUGAUGCUCUGACUUUAUUUCCUUGGAGGAGCCAACAGGCAAUCACAACCGUCUACCGGCUGUCAGCUUUAGAAAUAAAUUAUGGAUUUGAUUUUCAUCCAUUCAAACUGGGAGAGAAGUCCAGCUUUGAAUCAGAGUUGUCGCAGAAAUCCAUCAUUCGGGCCAAUCUCUCUUUUCUGGCGCACGGUUAAAAGGGCUGUCUUGACGUCCAUCUUGUGUCGGAGCAUGAGGUCUGCGCCACACAGCAAAACAUACUAACCGUGAUACAAGCCUCCUGAUUGUCAACCAAAACAAUCAAAAUAUGAAGAAAAACUUGAUUUGGAUCCCAAUUGCCUGUCAGUCUAGGUCCUUGUUGGAAACCAAGUCACUGCACUGUGCGUUGUUGGGCGAUUGUUACGAAUCAGAUGGAAAUUUUUGGAGGCCACAUUCAUUCACCAUGCAUUGAACAGCAUGAUCUGGGUGGCCGAAGAUGCAAGCUGAGCAGUCCUCGAAAUUUCAUUUGUGAAGGAGGUGUUAUAACCUCGUAAUGGGGGACAAUGACCCUGUUAGAGGAAAGGCCACUGUUUGAGGGAAGUCAAAUCCUGAAGGCUGUACCAUUGUAUCACUCACUAGGUCUUUGUGGUAGAUAUUGGGACAGCCUAGAGAUUGUGCCAUUUGACCUUUCUGUCAAAACUUAAAUCACUCGAAGCAUUCACAGAACUUCAGACAGAUUUGUGUGGUUUGGAUCACAUAUUUGACAGGUUCUGAAGUUCUUCACGGAUUGACAGUUCUAUAUUGGUUUCAACAUAGUCCAAGUCUUAGCAUUUCUUCCUAUUGCCGUGCAUCAGGAGGUGGUAGUAUUAGACUGGAGUGGGAGUCCCUGGAUUUAUCAGCAACCUUACUUUUGUAUAACUUUUCCUGGAGCUGCAGCAAGUAGAUGAAGUAAACAGGGAAAUACCACAUUGCCUGACCACAAGAUACACCAGGCCAUAAGAUGCACCAGGAUUUUAAAGGUACUCUUGAGGAGAUAUUAGAAUAUAGAUGUCAGACCAUAAGAUGCACAACAUUUUUAAGCCACCUUUUCAUAUAAACAUCUUGUGAUCCAGUAGAAACAGUAACUUCAGUCUACUUUCUGCUCCAAAACCAUUUUAAAGAUUUAACAUUGAUAAUUUGACGUAUAAUCCAUGAACAUAAAUUACUUCUCAAACCUAUUACACCCAAUUAAGACCAGUGUCAUUGGAGACACAUUCAUUUUUAAAAUUUAUCGUUCAACAUUGACAAUGGAUCCAUCACAACCAAGAGCACAAGCAUCUAAAGCUAUUCAGAGUGACUUUAUAAUCAUUAACAACUAGAUUGUUAGUUCUGAAGAACACUUUUGGUGCAUUAGUUCAUUGAUCUUGUUUGGAAGCACAUGGACAUAUUUGUACUAGAUAGAAUACAGCACUGAUGUUUAUAAAGUAUUGAAUGUCUCAUGUAAAUGCUACUUGACAUUAGUGACUAUAUGUGUAUGCCUAUCCUGUAGUUUUGUGGUGUGAACUGGACAUUUAGUAAUGAGUGUGAAGCUGUAAGUUAGCAAACCAGAACUUCUGCAGCAGAAGGUAAAAUAGAAAACCAAACUGUGCAUCUUUUAAUCAAUUCAUUUCAAAGUGCAAAACAUGUACUCUACUGGUCUAUUUUCUAUCCUACUUUCAAAAUCACAGCACCAGCUGUGAUGCAGGGGAUUGAAAAAGGGUCCUGGAAAAUCAAUACAAAACAAAGAACUGCAGAAGCUGAAGUUCUGAA